AGUUUGUUGCAAACCCGGAAGCAGAUCUCUUGGAGUGAAGGCUGUCCGUCGCCGCGUAGAACCCCGAAAGAAGAGGAAGAGGAAAGCAAAGGAGUCAGGGAUGGCUCUUCGUCAGGUGAGAUGAUAUUCUCGGUGGAUUGUUCUGUCUCCUUCCUUUCAGAAACCCUGGGCCUUGGAGUUGGGAAUCUUCUCUGAAUCUGAAGCAUCCUGCCUGACAGGUUUGCUCACACUCACUCAUGCCUUCCCUCAGUCCCUCUCAUCUCACUUAGAUUCCAUCUCUUGUGACCCAGUGACAUGAACUUGGGAAGAGGCUGCACGGGGCAUAGUCCUAGGAAGGGCUCACACCCAGACAUGGAUGGAGAUGGGGUGAGGGUCCUGUAGCAUCAGUGCUGUUGGGCAACACGGAUUGUUCAGGCCAUAUUUGAAUAUAUUGCCAGCUCUGUGUAAACUGUGAUAAGAGAAGCUGGUUAUGAAGUCAGAUGUUACUGUGUACAAGCACCCAUGAAAUGCUGUAAAACGAGACCACUGUGGGGAAAGCUUUGUAGCCUUAUUUAUAUUGCAUUUGAUGCCGAACAAGUGAGUCACUGUGUUUCUGACUCCAAACCAAACUCCUUUUUUUUUUUUUUUGGUUUAAACAGAGUCUCGCUCUGUCGCCUAGGCUGGAGUGCAGUGAUGCGAUCUCAGCUCACUGCAACCUCCACCUCCUGGGCUCAAGUGAUUCUCUUGCCAUGGCCCCCUGAGUAGCUGGGACUACAGGCGUGCGUCACCACGCCCGGCUGGGACUACAGGCGUGCGUCACCACGCCCGGCUAUUUUUUUGUAUUUUUAAUAGAAAUGGGGUUUCACCAUGUUGCCCAGGCCGGUCUCCAACUCGUGAGCUCAAGCGAUCCACCCGCCUUGGCCUCCCAAAGUGCUGGGAUUACAGGCGUGAACCACCGCGCCCGGCCUUCAUUACUUAUAUUCAACCAAGAGAGAAACUUAUCCCUCAGGCAGCACCCUGGAAAGGCAGAAUAUUGGAUGAAUGUUUUCAUACGUUUCCUCUCCCAGGAGAAAUGGGAAAUGGGUGUUUUUCUUGUAGUGACACUGCAUCAUGCCAGGAUGAGGCCUCUGUGAGCAGAUGUCCUGUAUUUUCCUACUAGACUUCUGUUAAGAGUUCCAGCCUCUUACAUGAUUACUGGAUUUCUCACAAAGGCAAUUGGUUCAUAUGUUGCUACUAAAUUUGUGUCUCCAUGGUGGAGGUAGUGUUUGGGAGUUCUAUUCCUCUAUUUUAUUGACAUCACUUUAGUACAGUUUUAUAAUUUCUUUAAAUAGGUCUGGAAACGUAUUUUAAUAGGUAGCAUUGUAUAAUUCCUAAUGUACUCGUGAGAUGCAUUGUGUGUUUGUGUUUAAUGAGAGCUGCUAAAGAAAGAAUGAAGAUUGUUUUCACAGUAUUGUUAUUAGUUCUUAUACUUCAAUGCAUUCUUCUCCUGGGUUGUGAGUAUGUCAUCUGUUAGUUUUAACAGAUCCAGCUCCUACUUUACCUUUUUCUUGGUCUCAGCUCAGGCAUGCUCUGAAGUGGGCUUUAGCUGGAGCCUUGGUGAGCCCCAUUUUCUCCUUUUUUUUUUUUUCUGAUACAAGGUCCGGCCCUGUCGCCCAGUCUGGAGUGCAGUGGUGCAAUCUUGGCUCACUGCAACCUCCACCUCCUGGGCUCAAGCCAGCCUCCCACCUCAGCCUCUCAAGUAGCUGGGACUACACGUGCAUGCCACCACACCCAGCUAAUUUUUAUAUUUUUUGUAAAGAUAGGGGUCUCACUAUUUUGCCGAGGAUCGUCUCGAAUUCCUGAGCUCAAGCAAUCCACCCGCCUUGGCCUCCCAAAGUGUUAGGAUUACAGGCAUGAGCCAUCACACCCAGCCCAUUUUCUCCAUUUUAAUUUAGAGCAAAUGCAUCCAGCAUUUACUGCUUGAUUAUGAUGUUUGGUGAAAUUUUCUUGUUUAAUAUUAGCUUUUGGUGUUUUUCAAAUUUCCUUUUUGGACUGAUUUUUAGUUAUCCAAUAAUUUCUUUGAGUAAGUAUUGUUGCAAUAUGUACUUCUUAAAUCUAUUAAAUUAAUGUAUGAUAUUAAAAAAUGUCCUAAUCUUAUGUUAUGAUUUCAUGAGUAAAAUAAACUAAAACCUCCAUUGGGCUUUUGUUAAUGCCUAAAUAUCUAAAUUUAACUGGGAAAAAAUGGUAUCUGUAUUUUUAAUAUUUGUAUUUAAUACCAAUUGGAGUACAAGUUCUUACAUAUUUUUGUUUUAGCGUUUUUACAGCUUAAUUUACAAAAAUGUUUGUAAACUACAUUAAGUACAAUUCAUGCAUUUUAAUUGUCCCAGACUUUCUGAAAAGCACAUGAGCGAAAAAAAACAACUAAAGAUAUCAU
Molecule: small RNA, 2392 nt
Filed under: Pongo abelii (Sumatran orangutan)
Lineage: Eukaryota; Metazoa; Chordata; Mammalia; Primates; Hominidae
Description: processed transcript
Source: RNAcentral